This 932-nucleotide ribosomal RNA is filed under the name Lactiplantibacillus plantarum. RNAcentral's name for it is "bacterial SSU rRNA". It matches the Rfam family "Bacterial small subunit ribosomal RNA", at positions 63 to 963 of the family's 1533-position model. The record is from RNAcentral. Lineage: Bacteria; Bacillati; Bacillota; Bacilli; Lactobacillales; Lactobacillaceae.
CGAGCUCUGGUAUUGAGUGGUGCUUGCAUCAUGAUUUACAUUUGAGUGAGUGGCGAACUGGUGAGUAACACGUGGGAAACCUGCCCAGAAGCGGGGGAUAACACCUGGAAACAGAUGCUAAUACCGCAUAACAACUUGGACCGCAUGGUCCGAGUUUGAAAGAUGGCUUCGGCUAUCACUUUUGGAUGGUCCCGCGGCGUAUUAGCUAGAUGGUGGGGUAACGGCUCACCAUGGCAAUGAUACGUAGCCGACCUGAGAGGGUAAUCGGCCACAUUGGGACUGAGACACGGCCCAAACUCCUACGGGAGGCAGCAGUAGGGAAUCUUCCACAAUGGACGAAAGUCUGAUGGAGCAACGCCGCGUGAGUGAAGAAGGGUUUCGGCUCGUAAAACUCUGUUGUUAAAGAAGAACAUAUCUGAGAGUAACUGUUCAGGUAUUGACGGUAUUUAACCAGAAAGCCACGGCUAACUACGUGCCAGCAGCCGCGGUAAUACGUAGGUGGCAAGCGUUGUCCGGAUUUAUUGGGCGUAAAGCGAGCGCAGGCGGUUUUUUAAGUCUGAUGUGAAAGCCUUCGGCUCAACCGAAGAAGUGCAUCGGAAACUGGGAAACUUGAGUGCAGAAGAGGACAGUGGAACUCCAUGUGUAGCGGUGAAAUGCGUAGAUAUAUGGAAGAACACCAGUGGCGAAGGCGGCUGUCUGGUCUGUAACUGACGCUGAGGCUCGAAAGUAUGGGUAGCAAACAGGAUUAGAUACCCUGGUAGUCCAUACCGUAAACGAUGAAUGCUAAGUGUUGGAGGGUUUCCGCCCUUCAGUGCUGCAGCUAACGCAUUAAGCAUUCCGCCUGGGGAGUACGGCCGCAAGGCUGAAACUCAAAGGAAUUGACGGGGGCCCGCACAAGCGGUGGAGCAUGUGGUUUAAUUCGAAGCUACGCG